GGACGAACGCUGGCGGCGUGCCUAACACAUGCAAGUCGAGCGAUGAUCGGAAGAUGAGGCCCUCGGGCGGAAUCUUCUGAGAUUAGCGGCGGAUGGGUGAGUAACGCGUGGGCAAUCUGCCCUCCACAGGGGGAUAACACAGGGAAACUUGUGCUAAUACCGCAUAACAUCUUUUUAAGGCAUCUUAUGAAGAUCAAAGGAGCGAUCCGGUGAAGGAGGAGCCCGCGUCUGAUUAGCUGGUUGGUGAGGUAACGGCCCACCAAGGCGACGAUCAGUAGCCGAACUGAGAGGUUGAUCGGCCACAUUGGGACUGAGACACGGCCCAGACUCCUACGGGAGGCAGCAGUGGGGAAUAUUGCACAAUGGAGGAAACUCUGAAUGCAGCAACGCCGCGUGAAGGAUGACGGCCUUCGGGUUGUAAACUUCUUUGGCAGGGGACGAAGACAGUGACGGUACCCUGAGAACAAGCCACGGCUAACUACGUGCCAGCAGCGGC
This 496-nucleotide ribosomal RNA is filed under the name uncultured bacterium. Its description in RNAcentral is "bacterial SSU rRNA". It matches the Rfam family "Bacterial small subunit ribosomal RNA", at positions 27 to 518 of the family's 1533-position model. The record is from RNAcentral.